AUUGAACGCUGGCGGCAGGCCUAACACAUGCGAGUCGAGCGGAUGAAGGGAGCUUGCUCCUGGAUUCAGCGGCGGACGGGUGAGUAAUGCCUAGGAAUCUGCCUGGUAGUGGGGGAUAACGUCCGGAAACGGGCGCUAAUACCGCAUACGUCCUGAGGGAGAAAGUGGGGGAUCUUCGGACCUCACGCUAUCAGAUGAGCCUAGGUCGGAUUAGCUAGUUGGUGGGGUAAAGGCCUACCAAGGCGACGAUCCGUAACUGGUCUGAGAGGAUGAUCAGUCACACUGGAACUGAGACACGGUCCAGACUCCUACGGGAGGAAGCAGUGGGGAAUAUUGGACAAUGGGCGAAAGCCUGAUCCAGCCCUGCCGCGUGUGUGAAGAAGGUCUUCGGAUUGUAAAGCACUUUAAGUUGGGAGGAAGGGCAGUAAGUUAAUACCUUGCUGUUUUGACGUUACCAACAGAAUAAGCACCGGCUAACUUCGUG
Molecule: ribosomal RNA, 484 nt
Filed under: uncultured bacterium
Lineage: Bacteria
Description: partial 16S ribosomal RNA
Rfam family: Bacterial small subunit ribosomal RNA
Source: RNAcentral